This 253-nucleotide ribosomal RNA is filed under the name uncultured bacterium. Its description in RNAcentral is "partial 16S ribosomal RNA". It matches the Rfam family "Bacterial small subunit ribosomal RNA", at positions 524 to 776 of the family's 1533-position model. The record is from RNAcentral.
UACGUAGGGGGCAAGCGUUGUCCGGAAUCAUUGGGCGUAAAGAGCGUGUAGGCGGCCAGAAAAGUCCGCUGUGAAAACUCGAGGCUCAACUUCGAGCUGUCGGUGGAAACUUUCUGGCUAGAGUCCGGAAGAGGAGAGUGGAAUUCCUGGUGUAGCGGUGAAAUGCGUAGAUAUCAGGAGGAAUACCGGUGGCGAAAGCGACUCUCUGGACGGCAACUGACGCUGAGGCACGAAAGCGUGGGGAGCAAACAGG